Molecule: ribosomal RNA, 622 nt
Filed under: uncultured Ehrlichia sp.
Lineage: Bacteria; Pseudomonadati; Pseudomonadota; Alphaproteobacteria; Rickettsiales; Anaplasmataceae
Description: bacterial SSU rRNA
Rfam family: Bacterial small subunit ribosomal RNA
Source: RNAcentral
GUUUGAUCCUGGCUCAGGACGAACGCUGGCGGCAAGCCUAACACAUGCAAGUCGAACGGACAAUUAUUUAUAGCUUUUGGCUAUAGGCAAUUGUUAGUGGCAGACGGGUGAGUAAUGCGUAGGAAUCUACCUAGUAGUACGGAAUAGCCAUUAGAAAUGAUGGGUAAUACUGUAUAAUCCCCGCGGGGGAAAGAUUUAUCGCUAUUAGAUGAGCCUACGUUAGAUUAGCUAGUUGGUAAGGUAAUGGCUUACCAAGGCUAUGAUCUAUAGCUGGUCUGAGAGGACGAUCAGCCACACUGGAACUGAGAUACGGUCCAGACUCCUACGGGAGGCAGCAGUGGGGAAUAUUGGACAAUGGGCGAAAGCCUGAUCCAGCUAUGCCGCGUGAGUGAAGAAGGCCUUCGGGUUGUAAAACUCUUUCAAUAGGGAAGAUAAUGACGGUACCUAUAGAAGAAGUCCCGGCAAACUCUGUGCCAGCAGCCGCGGUAAUACGGAGGGGGCAAGCGUUGUUCGGAAUUAUUGGGCGUAAAGGGCACGUAGGUGGACUAGUAAGUUAAAAGUGAAAUACCAAAGCUUAACUUUGGAGCGGCUUUUAAUACUGCUAGACUAGAGGUCGAAAGAG